ACCAUGCAGGUUUUUAAGUUCUUUUAAAUACUGAGCACUAAUAUUUGACCAUUGUCUUUUGCAGAGAGCAGCUCCACAUCGACAUGUGAGACAGUUCCACACAGAAAAGGGAAAAGAGCCAGUGAGGUGGAUGAGGAUGAAGGUUCUGAACAUCAUAUUAAAAAGAGACGUUACUCCCGCAGAGAUGAUGAAGGCUCCGAUACAGAUGAUGAAGGCUCCGAUACAGAUGAUGAAGGUCAGAGCCCAGGAACAAGACCAAUUAAGAACUCACAGAAAAUGACAACACACAAACGAACCGAG
Long non-coding RNA from Clarias gariepinus (North African catfish), 300 nucleotides. RefSeq lists it as uncharacterized. The transcript is spliced from 3 exons. The record is from RefSeq and is a predicted model, not a curated record. Lineage: Eukaryota; Metazoa; Chordata; Actinopteri; Siluriformes; Clariidae.